CCUACGGGUGGCAGCAGUGGGGAAUAUUGGACAAUGGGGGCAACCCUGAUCCAGCCAUGCCGCGUGUGUGAAGAAGGCCCUCGGGUUGUAAAGCACUUUCAGUGGGGAAGAACGCCUGGUGGUUAAUACCCAUCAGGAAAGACAUCACUCACAGAAGAAGCACCGGCUAACUCCGUGCCAGCAGCCGCGGUAAUACGGAGGGUGCGAGCGUUAAUCGGAAUUACUGGGCGUAAAGCGCGCGUAGGUGGCUUGAUAAGCCGGUUGUGAAAGCCCCGGGCUCAACCUGGGAACGGCAUCCGGAACUGUCAAGCUAGAGUGCAGGAGAGGAAGGUAGAAUUCCCGGUGUAGCGGUGAAAUGCGUAGAGAUCGGGAGGAAUACCAGUGGCGAAGGCGGCCUUCUGGACUGACACUGACACUGAGGUGCGAAAGCGUGGGUAGCAAACAGGAUUAGAUACCCCUGUAGUC
This 465-nucleotide ribosomal RNA is filed under the name Vreelandella stevensii. RNAcentral describes it as "partial 16S ribosomal RNA". It matches the Rfam family "Bacterial small subunit ribosomal RNA", at positions 338 to 795 of the family's 1533-position model. Lineage: Bacteria; Pseudomonadati; Pseudomonadota; Gammaproteobacteria; Oceanospirillales; Halomonadaceae. The record is from RNAcentral.